RNAcentral lists this ribosomal RNA (211 nucleotides) under uncultured bacterium. RNAcentral's name for it is "partial 16S ribosomal RNA". It matches the Rfam family "Bacterial small subunit ribosomal RNA", at positions 524 to 732 of the family's 1533-position model. The record is from RNAcentral.
UACGUAGGGUGCAAGCGUUGUCCGGAAUUAUUGGGCGUAAAGAGCUCGUAGGCGGUUUGUCGCGUCUGCUGUGAAAACGCGAGGCUCAACCUCGCGCCUGCAGUGGGUACGGGCAGACUAGAGUGCGGUAGGGGAGAUUGGAAUUCCUGGUGUAGCGGUGGAAUGCGCAGAUAUCAGGAGGAACACCGAUGGCGAAGGCAGGAAUCUCUGG